CAGAAAGUUUUUAAUCCAGGUUUUAUCAUUUAAAAGAGCAGGUUGGACAAAUCAGUCCAGGUUCAGCUCUUGUUCAAACAAGA
Thalassophryne amazonica is the source of this 83-nucleotide long non-coding RNA. RefSeq lists it as uncharacterized. The record is from RefSeq and is a predicted model, not a curated record. Lineage: Eukaryota; Metazoa; Chordata; Actinopteri; Batrachoidiformes; Batrachoididae. The transcript has 3 exons.